UACGUAGGUGGCAAGCGUUGUCCGGAAUUAUUGGGCGUAAAGCGCGCGCAGGCGGUCUUUUAAGUCUGAUGUGAAAGCCCACGGCUCAACCGUGGAGGGUCAUUGGAAACUGGGGGACUUGAGUGCAGAAGAGGAAAGUGGAAUUCCAAGUGUAGCGGUGAAAUGCGUAGAGAUUUGGAGGAACACCAGUGGCGAAGGCGACUUUCUGGUCUGAACUGACGCUGAGGCGCGAAAGCGUGGGGAGCAACAGG
This 251-nucleotide ribosomal RNA is filed under the name uncultured bacterium. RNAcentral describes it as "partial 16S ribosomal RNA". It matches the Rfam family "Bacterial small subunit ribosomal RNA", at positions 524 to 775 of the family's 1533-position model. The record is from RNAcentral.